Molecule: ribosomal RNA, 433 nt
Filed under: uncultured bacterium
Lineage: Bacteria
Description: partial 16S ribosomal RNA
Rfam family: Bacterial small subunit ribosomal RNA
Source: RNAcentral
AACGAACGCUGGCGGCAUGCCUAACACAUGCAAGUCGAACGAGACCUUCGGGUCUAGUGGCGCACGGGUGCGUAACGCGUGGGAACCUGCCCUUAGGUUCGGAAUAACUCCCCGAAAGGGGUGCUAAUACCGGAUAAUGUCUUCGGACCAAAGAUUUAUCGCCUUUGGAUGGGCCCGCGUUGGAUUAGCUAGUUGGUAGGGUAAAAGCCUACCAAAGCGACGAUCCAUAGCUGGUCUGAGAGGAUGAUCAGCCACACUGGGACUGAGACACGGCCCAGACUCCUACGGGAGGCAGCAGUGGGGAAUAUUGGACAAUGGGCGAAAGCCUGAUCCAGCAAUGCCGCGUGAGUGAUGAAGGCCUUAGGGUUGUAAAGCUCUUUUAGCCGGGAUGAUAAUGACAGUACCGGGAGAAUAAGCUCCGGCUAACUCCGUG